Molecule: non-coding RNA, 23 nt
Filed under: Cricetulus griseus (Chinese hamster)
Lineage: Eukaryota; Metazoa; Chordata; Mammalia; Rodentia; Cricetidae
Source: RNAcentral
UUACGUAAUGAGAAUUUUAGCGU